GCAGUACCAUUUAUUCAUCAAUACAUGCAUCUAUCCAUCCAUCUAUUCACCUAGAUGUUAACAGAGAAACAGAGAAGAAUACAGAGGUAGAAGAGAGACGGGACAGAGAAGAAGAGUUCCCAUCGGGCGUCUAGGCAGGGCGGCCAGAGGCGGCGGGCUGCCCGUCCAGCGGGGUCGCGAGGAGCGAGGCGACGGAGCUCCCGUCCGGCGGCGUCGUGAGGAGGGGUGCUGUCGGUGUUCCCAUCUGGCGGCGGCGAGGCGGGCCGUCGUGAGGAGAGGGGCCGCCCCAAGGCGAGAACCGGCGUGUAGGCUGGGCUGCCAGGGGGUGGCCGGUGGCGGGCUGGUGGAGCUCCCGCCGCCGCUAGCGCUCGUGGGGAUCGAGCGUUUGCUGGGCCGUUCAGUCGUGCAAAAGGGGCAGUUUGGCUGUAAAUUAUUCCUCCAAUAGGGGUACUCUCAUAUCCGAAACGUUUUCUUUGGUGGGACUUACCAGAAUCUUGGGAU
Molecule: ribosomal RNA, 501 nt
Filed under: Triticum aestivum (bread wheat)
Lineage: Eukaryota; Viridiplantae; Streptophyta; Magnoliopsida; Poales; Poaceae
Description: partial small subunit ribosomal RNA
Source: RNAcentral